ACUAACUUCAUCGUCGAUCUCUUCCGCCUCCCACACCAAUC
RNAcentral lists this small RNA (41 nucleotides) under Arabidopsis thaliana (thale cress). Its description in RNAcentral is "ATSL066670". The record is from RNAcentral. Lineage: Eukaryota; Viridiplantae; Streptophyta; Magnoliopsida; Brassicales; Brassicaceae.